This is a long non-coding RNA of Astatotilapia calliptera (eastern happy), 1754 nucleotides long. The record is from Ensembl. NCBI's taxonomy places the organism in Eukaryota, Metazoa, Chordata, Actinopteri, Cichliformes, Cichlidae.
AUUUCCAAGGCUGACCGAGGCAAAAUACAUCUUAAAAACAAAAUGGAGCAGUCAAAAAUACACAGUGUCAGGGAGAGGUGUCAAAUAUGCAUCUGUGAACAUUUCAGCCUGCAGAAAAGACUUUUAGAAAGCAUUUUCUUUACAUUAAGUAGAUUUUUUUUUUUUUAAAACAGCACAUCUUUUUACAUAUAUAUGAAACAUGUUAUGGAAUAAUUCGGCACCACAAGAAGUAGAGCUGGGCAGAUUGAUCUAAAUAUCAAUAGUGUCCAUACCAGUGCAGGCAUUGGUAUCGGAUCGAUACAAGAGCAAUAGGCUUGAUAAUUUGUUUAUUAUGUAAUCCACUGAAUUGUGUUGAAUUUUGGGGGGGAAAUGAAAAAAUAUACGUUGACUGUCACAUCUGUUUCAUGUGCUAAAUUCUGUAGCACAUUUAAACAACAGAAGUUGACCCAGAGUGCUUUAGAGACAUUCACAUUCUAGCUCUCAAAAAAGAAUUAUUGGUGCAUAUUAUUUGUGAACAAUUGGCCCGAUGGGCGAUGCAAGGUAUUUUAUUUUUUAAAUUUCCAAUUAACAGUUGUAUUUUUUACAGCCUUUUAUGCAUGUUUGUUAAUAAAAUGAACUGCUUGUAAUAAUAGCAAAUAACAAUUGCAGAAAGGAAUUUGAGGAGGUGAAAGACUAAACUGAAAGAUAUGUGUGCGUGUAUGUGUGGUGUUUAUACCACUGCUGUUGAGACUUAGUUUUCUUUUCACUGUAAUUAGUUCGAUAAUAGUUCAUGUGGAAGAUUUGCCUUGUCUGAUUUAUUUUUCACUUUAACACCUGAGCACUUUAAACCAAGCAAUCGAUGUUUUGAUGUUGUAAUUAUCUCUUUAUUCUUUUUUUUUUUUUUUACAUCUUUGUACUUUUUCUGAAUUGGGUGUUGCUGGUUUUCUCACAGAGUAUCUCUUGACUGAAUGUGGCUUUUCUAAACUUCAAGGCUGUAGUAACUCCACAGUCACCUUCUUUUGGUUUGUGAGUUUGCGUGGGUGUACAGUUGUAAGUUUAUGGUCACAAUGCCAGUGCGGUCAUCAGGUUUUUCAUUUGUUCAAUAGAAAGGUUUUAUUUAACCCAAUAUUAUUUAACAAUAUUGCUAUUUUUAACUAUUGCCAAAAAAUAUUUCACAUGUUAGCCUGACAGUCACCCUGGACUUUCAAAUUAGAGUUAUGGUGGUUACAAUUUUUACCACUAGCUGUCAGUAGCUUCAGACUGUAGUCAUCUGAGGUCUGUUUUCUUACCCAUCACAGUUAGGUGCAUAAUCCUAGCUACAGGACAAACAGGUUUUAGUCAAGAGAGAUCAAAAACAUUAUAUCAAAAUACAGCCUAUAACAGCCAGUUCCAAUCAGCAUGUUUAUACUGCUACCAGUAUAAACUGGUCAGAUCCAUUUUUUGUUGAAGGCUGUGAGUCCACUUUUACCUCAGCCGUCAAUGCCAGGUGAGCAGCGUCCACCUUUAUUUACUCUGAAAGAGGCUGUGAAACUUUGGGAAAGGAGUCUGAUACACGUCAGUUAGUCAGAGAAGCUCAGUUCUGAUCAGUGAUAAAGAUACUGUGGUGAGUUGUUGAGGAUAUGCUGAACUGUUAGUGAGCACUGCUGUUUUUGCCACUCUUAGCUACUGUUAGCCUCUGUUAGCUGCUGUUAGCCGCUGUUAGCUGCUGUUAGCCUGUGUUAGCUGCUGUUAGCCUCUGUUAGCUGCUGUUUGCUGUGAAGCUUUUUUGAAGUGGA